CUUCCAAAACACUUGUCGAUGGUUCCACUUCUCAAAGAUAUACUCCUCAUGUAGCUCCACUUCUAACGUCAGCAAACAAUCGAUACAAGCAUCACAAGAGAACCUAAAAACAAUACACCAAGCAUUACAAAAUAAGACUUAAAGGUUUUAAACAUGUAGGGCUUGUAACUACGAUCGUUGAGCGCAAAAACAACUAAACGGAGCAAUGGUUUAGAAGACAUGAAAGUUCAAAGGUAGAAGUUGGAAGGUUCAAUAAAUGAUAGGAAUGGAAUAAACAUGAUGUAUGUGGGCUAACUUGAAAGAUUUAGAGAGCAUAAGGAUUUAUAGAUGAAUAGUAAAUGAUCAGAGGAUUGUAUACAAGAUAGACUAGAGAUUAUGAAGAAUGAAGUAAGCAUAUGAAGAUUUAAGGGCUUGAUCACUUGUGCUGGCUAUGCAAGCUGGAUGAGAGAAAACAUAUACAUGGCAAUGGCUACACAGUAGUGAGAUGAUAUGGUGAGAUACUAUCAAGAUUAUUUAUAUGUGGUUCUAGAACACAAUGAGGCAGGACAACUAUGAUGGUUGGAAUGGCUAGAACUUUGCGAGUGCAAUGCGACCAUAGAUUUAAGAUGGAAGCAAGGCUGCACAUAAGGUUUGUGUAUCCUGAUUACUUUAUAUAUAUAUGAUGGAGUGCUGCUGCAUAUGAGAGGUCAUAUGGGAUCAUAUUAUGGUCACUAGUGCACCAAAGCAAGUAGCUAAAUCCACUGGGGAUAUGAUUACAAUGAGCUGCACACCGACUGAGCAUGAAUGUGCGAUGGGAAGUAGUGGUUCUUGCCAACAAAACGCAGGCCUAUGCUAAGCUUCUGGGAUAGAUAUUUGGUGGAUUUGUGUGCAGCAACCAUAGACAUAGUCAUGCAAGAGAGAUCAGUGAUUUGAACAAUGGUUUGGUGGGGAACGUGGUGAGACACCGGUGCACCUAGGAUGUGCAUGGCAGCGGACAACAGGGGUUAUGAUCCUUGAUGACAUGCUCUGGUCAGCACAAAUGAGCAAUCCAUAUUUUGGAGUCAUCGUGGACUGUAUGAGGUAUGUUCUUGUAAAAGGGAAUGGUGGUUUGACCAUCUGUUAAGCGGAGAACACAAACUCAAAAUGGGUGGCAUGACUGAUUUCUAGACAGCAGGAGUAGCAGGUACUAUGGCCUCAACAUCUCAGCCAUUGAGACACCUAUGGCCAAGCCAACCUGUAGAGAUGUGUACAACGAUAAGACACACAUUCUUCAUGAAGGGUUUGAUGAUUUAACUAAUGUAUGAUGGGGAACAACACUAUCAAACAGAGGCACAAUGCUGCUGAAACAGCAGGGACAGCAAACACCGAAAAGAUGAUGAUAUCUCUUUCAUCUUGAAUUCUAUUGCCAUGGAAUUUCUCAGGGGUGUGUGCAAAGGUAGAAAACACACUGUGGUUGAAGGACAUGGUCACUGGAGUGAUGGAUCAUUGGGAAUACACAUGCCAACCGGCAGAAACUCUGCUGCGGGACAGCAGCGACAUCAUGCACAAGAACAUUUAUAACUCUUUCAUAUUAAGCUCUAUGGCCAUGAAAAUUUACAGAGACAUGGGCAAAUAUAUGAUACACACAUGGAUUAAAGGAAUUGCAAAACAGAGGUGCAGAUUGCCGGGAACAUGCGUGAUAACCAGCAGCAACACUGCUGUCCAUGAUAGACGACAAUACGUUCUUAGCCAAAACUGCACUACAAAUCUAUCCACUUGAAUCAAGAUGACAAAACUUUGAUAUAGUCGAACAUAUAAGAUAGAGGAGAAUGUUUGGUUCUCACAUUGGGGUUAGGAACAGUUGGAGAUGAACGUGAUGGCAGCGGUCAGUGUCGAUGACAGGUGAAGACAAUGUUGGUGAUCAAUGGAGCAGUGGCAUAUUCGCUUUGGGGGAUCAUCCAUGCCUCACAAUAGAUCAAAGAGAUGCAUGAGUGGGGAAUAUGAAACGAGAUCACAGAGGGGAGAGGGAAGGACGACCUCACCAUGGUCUGCACAAGAGCAGCAGCGAUGAUGGUCGAUGAGUUUCUGCUGCAGGUUCUGGGAGAUGGGAAAAGACAUUGGGGUGACCUCCAUGAAGCGCUGCAGCACCAUGGCGUCCUCAAGCAAUAUGUGAAGAAUUCCAUGACUCCGAUGAUGGGAAGAAACGUGCAGCAGCAAAACAAAAAUGUUGCUGAGAGGGCAGUGCAUUUUGAUGGAGAGGUUGGAGAGGGAUUUGGAGGGGAGAGGAGUUGCC
RNAcentral lists this long non-coding RNA (2251 nucleotides) under Sorghum bicolor (sorghum). Its description in RNAcentral is "long non-coding RNA (SBIC_LNC002853)". Lineage: Eukaryota; Viridiplantae; Streptophyta; Magnoliopsida; Poales; Poaceae. The record is from RNAcentral.